Long non-coding RNA from Felis catus (domestic cat), 1634 nucleotides. RefSeq lists it as uncharacterized. Lineage: Eukaryota; Metazoa; Chordata; Mammalia; Carnivora; Felidae. The record is from RefSeq and is a predicted model, not a curated record. The transcript is spliced from 4 exons.
CUUCCCCCCACUCAGACCACACUCAUAACACAUGGAAACCAAUAUAUCUGUAGUGUCUAGCGGAGGUGCUUCAACGCGUAUGUUCUCAUUGGAUUGUUACAACAUGGUUACCAUGUGAGACAGGAAUCCUGGUCUCCAUCUUGCAGUGGAGUAAACAGAAACUCAGAAGGGACUGGCCCAAGAGCAUAUUCUGCAAAGCGGCAGAUGGACAUAAGUCUUUGGGGGAGCAAAUUGCUGUGGCAGAAAUCCUGGGCCUUGACCUUUCAGGGAUUGUACUCAGAGAAGGUACAUUAAAGCUGGAAGACCAACUGGACUUAAAUAGUCCAUGACUUUCGUGCUAUGGACAAGAGAGCUGAGACCAGCCUGGGUUAAGAGGCACAGUGACCAUGAAACAGAUGUAACUGCUUAUGAUCUGAACUCCAGCACUGCCUUAUAAUUCAAGAAUCCUGGAGAUCCAUAAGAAAUCUGAUGCCCUCUGAUUCUUGUUCAUUGUUGUCAGCCCUGAUGCCAAGAACUUCUUGAGGGAGAAGAGGAUCACUCAACCUUACUGCUCCCACAGAGUCAGACAGUUGCAUUCAUUGUUUCUUGCCAACCUGUUUGUCCUGUAGUAGUUUCUCAAGGUAUACACUGAAAGGAAAAAAUAAUAAUAACUUACUCUUUCCUGGUAGAGUUACAUCCAAUGAUAACUUUUACAUGGCAAAAUAGGCCUGGGUUUCAAGGAAUUUGUUCCUUCAACACACGUGUGAAUUAGAAACGUACCAGAUUCUGCCUUUCCAGACAUCCUCCCACUACGUGUGUAUAAAAAUUUUGUAGUACCCAUUUAUAUUUGCUGGGCAAGUGUGUCAUUGCUUUAGUCUCUCAGCCUAACUACUAUCAUUGAUGGAAGCUUAACUAUUCAUACCACAGACUCAUAAAUAAGGUACCAUAACCAUAAAUAGGCAUAAACAAGACAACCAGUUGACUUAAUAAUACAUUCCUCAAAUUGUAGGGCAUGAGCUCAUGAGGCACAUCUUUGUAAGUGUCAGCUCAGGAAAAAACAAACCUUUAAAAUCGCAGUGAGUCAUGGACACAUUGUUUUCCUAUGUAGCCCUGCAUCCCUCUUUAUAAUGGCAACUGCAUACUGUCAAGUCAAUCUUGCAUCACCCAAAACUUCUUUAAACUAAGCAUUGUGGAUUUGUGAGAGUACAAAUGAUACCCCAGACUGUGGGUGCAGAAGCAGAGUUUAACAUUGUCUGCCAUACAAGAAAAAUUCAUUCUCCUCCUGGCUCCAUGAUAUUCCCAUGCCAGUAUCUCUUGCUUGGAUCCACUAAGGUAAUUUUCCUUUUUCAGGUUUUAAUGAGCUUGGGAAACAGACAAGGCAUGUCAAAAAGUAGAAGAAAGGAAAGGAAAGAAAACAAACACGAUGCUCUGCUAUGCCUUCUCAUUUAACCCUGGAAAACAGUGCAAAGAAUUAUUCACAGAUGAGGACAUGUGGCAUGAAAAGUUGAUACCUAUGAUUAUGUAGUCUGUUGCAAAUCUUGAAUUUGCAGGAAUUUGACUCCACAACCCAUCAUGCUAUUAUACUACUGCUAGAAGUCUCUUUUAAUACUCAUACUUUUUUUUGGAUUAAAAAUCCAAAUUUUAUUUUUAACCUG